AGAGUUUGAUCAUGGCUCAGAGCGAACGCUGGCGGCAGGCCUAACACAUGCAAGUCGAGCGGCCGUAGCAAUACGGCAGCGGCAGACGGGAUAGUAACACGUGGGAACGCGCCCUUCGGUUCGGAAUAACUCAGGGAAACUUGAGCUAAUACCGGAUACGCCCUUACGGGGAAAGAUUUAUUGCCGAAGGAACGGCCCGCGUCGGAUUAGCUAGUUGGUGAGGUAAUGGCUCACCAAGGCGACGAUCCGUAGCUGGUCUGAGAGGAUGACCAGCAUCACUGGGACUGAGACACGGCCCAGACUCCUACGGGAGGCAGCAGUGGGGAAUAUUGGACAAUGGGCGCAAGCCUGAUCCAGCCAUGCCGCGUGGAUGAUGAAGGCCCUAGGGUUGUAAAGUCCUUUUAACGGGGAAGAUAAUGACGGUACCCGUAGAAUAAGCCCCGGCUAACUUCGUGCCAGCAGCCGCGGUAAUACGAAGGGGGCUAGCGCUGCUCGGAAUUACUGGGCGUAAAGCGCACGUAUGCGGGUCAUUAAGUCGGGGGUGAAAUCCUGGAGCUCAACUCCAGAACUGCCUUCGAAACUGAUGAUCUUGAGUUCGGGAGAGGUGAGUGGAACUGCGAGUGUAGAGGUGAAAUUCGUAGAUAUUCGCAAGAACACCAGUGGCGAAAGGCGGCUCACUGGCCCGAUACUGACGCUGAGGUGCGAAAGCGUGGGGAGCAAACAAGGAUUAGAUACCCUGGUAGUCCACGCCGUAACGAUGAAUGCUAGCCGUUGGCGAGCUUGCUCGUCAGUGGCGCAGCUAACGCUUUAAGCAUUCCGCCUGGGGAGUACGGUCGCAAGAUUAAAACUCAAAGGAAUUGACGG
This 864-nucleotide ribosomal RNA is filed under the name uncultured bacterium. RNAcentral describes it as "bacterial SSU rRNA". It matches the Rfam family "Bacterial small subunit ribosomal RNA", at positions 8 to 916 of the family's 1533-position model. The record is from RNAcentral.